GCCUGGGUGGCUCAGUCGGUUGAGCGUCUGACUUCGGCUCAGGUCAUGAUCUUGUGGUUUGUGAGUUUGAGCCCCGCGUCGGGCU
This is a transfer RNA of Felis catus (domestic cat), 85 nucleotides long. It matches the Rfam family "tRNA". Rfam says of the family: Transfer RNA (tRNA) molecules are approximately 80 nucleotides in length. The record is from Rfam. NCBI's taxonomy places the organism in Eukaryota, Metazoa, Chordata, Mammalia, Carnivora, Felidae.